GUCCCUGUAGCACAAUAGAUAGCUCAUUGGACUUCUAGCCCAAAGGUCGUGGGUUCGAAUCCCACCUGGGAUG
RNAcentral lists this transfer RNA (73 nucleotides) under Trichonephila clavipes. It matches the Rfam family "tRNA". From Rfam's summary of the family: Transfer RNA (tRNA) molecules are approximately 80 nucleotides in length. Their secondary structure includes four short double-helical elements and three loops (D, anti-codon, and T loops). The record is from Rfam by way of RNAcentral. Lineage: Eukaryota; Metazoa; Arthropoda; Arachnida; Araneae; Nephilidae.